UGGGGAAUAUUGCACAAUGGGCGCAAGCCUGAUGCAGCCAUGCCGCGUGUAUGAAGAAGGCCUUCGGGUUGUAAAGUACUUUCAGCGGGGAGGAACGGAGUAACGUUAAUACAUUUGCUCAUUGACGUUACCCGCAGAAGAAGCACCGGCUAACUCCGUGCCAGCAGCCGCGGUACUACGGAGGGUGCAAGCGUUAAUCGGAAUUACUGGGCGUAAAGCGCACGCAGGCGGUUUGUUAAGUCAGAUGUGAAAUCCCCGGGCUCAACCUGGGAACUGCAUCUGAUACUGGCAAGCUUGAGUCUCGUAGAGGGGGGUAGAAUUCCAGGUGUAGCGGUGAAAUGCGUAGAGAUCUGGAGGAAUACCGGUGGCGAAGGCGGCCCGCUGGACGAAGACUGACGCUCAGGUGCGAAAGCGUGGGGAGCAAACAGG
RNAcentral lists this ribosomal RNA (429 nucleotides) under Chloroflexota bacterium. RNAcentral describes it as "Chloroflexi bacterium partial 16S ribosomal RNA". It matches the Rfam family "Bacterial small subunit ribosomal RNA", at positions 355 to 776 of the family's 1533-position model. The record is from RNAcentral. Lineage: Bacteria; Bacillati; Chloroflexota.